CCUUACUAGUCUAGGCAAUCCACACAAUAAAAUUCAUGCAAGGAGCCUCCACUCAUCUUAAUGCUCCGCUAUAAUAGCUCAACAAUUACCAAACUGUCUUAAGGUAGUUUACGGUUUAAUUCAAUAGAAGGUUAUCAUUCUUUUCCUAUUUUGUGCUCAAACUCCCGUCAUUCACCCAACAUGUAAAGCAUGAAUAGUGUGCACAGAUAAUGUCAAGUGUUGCAUCAACAAGUAUCAGUUAGCCUAAUUGCACCAGAUCCAAAGUUUUGCAGUUUAAACUAGUCCAAUUAUAACAUCAUAGCUAGCAAGGUUAUCAAGCUCACACAAGCAUGCAUGAAAAGAAUUAAAGCAAAACUGAAUAAAAUGCAUAGAAAUUUUUUUUCUAUUCACUCAACAUGCACACACUGUGGAAUGCAAAUACCGAUGAAAACAGAUACUUAGUUAAAAUUAUGUCACCCCCCAAACUUAGUUAAUACAUUGUCCUCAAUGUAAAAUUAACAGAAGAUUAACGACAGAAUUAUAAAGACAACAUGAAAAAGGAAAGUCAAAAUGUGAUAAAUAGUACUUCCCCUGUAUCAAAAUGGAUUAGCUGGCGUGAAACUGGGUCUUGAUGUACCAUCAUCUGGCGAUGGAGGGUGUCGUCCAAGGAGCUGCCGUAUCAUCUCAUUCAGCUCCAUCAUCAAGGUAGACUGUUGUGUCUGCUCGGCCUGAAUAGCUCGCAUGGUCUCCCAAGUUUCAUUUACCUUCAUUUGGAUACCGUCCACCCGGCCCAAAUAUAUGUUCAGCCGGCCAUUCAUGGUAUCAACCUCCCGUUGCAUGACUGUGGCAUGAUCCCUGGCAUCUUUGAUGUAGUUCAACGCAAGGUGAUUAUCUCUUUGUAAACUUCUCAAUUCAUUCCUCAUGUUGCCAAAAUCCUGAAAGAAACUAUGGAGGUCUCGACUGAUGCCCGUGGUGGUGGAGAAUGUCUGUCUUAGCAACUGAUUGUCCACGUCAGCCUAUGGUGCUGGAGCCCGUGGGUGUUCCUGAUCUGCAGGGAUUGGGCCUUGCUCUGCCUGCUGUCUACGGCGCUCAUUUUCUUGCUCUUCCCUAUGUUUAACCCGAGCCCUUAUUUGAGCGUCAAAUGUAGUUCGUUUGAUCAUGGGGCUGGGUUUUUCAGGUAACUCCUCAAGUAGGAGUGCAACACCCGCAGCCCUACAUAUGCAACUAAUGAGGCUCGGGAAUAUCAGAGUGGAAUGACGAUCUCUCCAAGUUCCCAAUGAAUGUAGUUGAUUGUAUAUAUGAGUAGUGAGAUCUAUCUUGUUGCCUCGAGCCAAGUGGUAGAUGAACCCUGCUAUCUGAUCUGGAAAUGUAGUCCUGUGUGAUAUGGGCUCGAUAUUGUGGCACAUAAAGAGCCAUAGAAUGGCUAUGGAAAGGGGAAGCUCAAUCUGAUGUCACUCGGUAGUUUCGAGAGGCCAUGCAUUCUCCUGUCCCAUUAAAAACCUCAGCCACUUCAUUCCAGUGAAAGUCAAUUGGGAGAGGGACCACAUUCUCCACGGUAAACUGGUAGUAGUCAUGAAUGACCUCGGGAGAAAACAUAAUCCACUUUCCCCGCACCCAAGUCUGAUGGAAAUGCUUGGAGCCUGGCGUGUCAAUUUCACUGUUGAAGUUGGCGAAGAACUCUCGGCAUAGAGUCUCAUAGAUUAGAUGUGGUCACUCCACCAACUUUUGCCACCCACAGAUUUGAACUAAGUUGACCAACUCAAAACCUGGGAAG
This 1753-nucleotide long non-coding RNA is filed under the name Olea europaea subsp. europaea. Lineage: Eukaryota; Viridiplantae; Streptophyta; Magnoliopsida; Lamiales; Oleaceae. The record is from RNAcentral.